RNAcentral lists this ribosomal RNA (433 nucleotides) under uncultured bacterium. RNAcentral describes it as "partial 16S ribosomal RNA". It matches the Rfam family "Bacterial small subunit ribosomal RNA", at positions 29 to 507 of the family's 1533-position model. The record is from RNAcentral.
AACGAACGCUGGCGGCAUGCCUAACACAUGCAAGUCGAACGAGACCUUCGGGUCUAGUGGCGCACGGGUGCGUAACGCGUGGGAACCUGCCCUUAGGUUCGGAAUAACUCCCCGAAAGGGGUGCUAAUACCGGAUAAUUUCUUCGGACCAAAGAUUCAUCGCCUUUGGAUGGGCCCGCGUUGGAUUAGCUAGUUGGUAGGGUAAAAGCCUACCAAGGCGACGAUCCAUAGCUGGUCGGAGAGGAAGAUCAGCCACACUGGGACUGAGACACGGCCCAGACUCCUACGGGAGGCAGGAGUGGGGAAUAUUGGACAAUGGGCGAAAGCCUGAUCCAGCAAUGCCGCGUGAGUGAUGAAGGCCUUAGGGUUGUAAAGCUCUUUUACCCGGGAUGAUAAUGACAGUACCGGGAGAAUAAGCUCCGGCUAACUCCGUG